This 253-nucleotide ribosomal RNA is filed under the name uncultured bacterium. RNAcentral's name for it is "partial 16S ribosomal RNA". It matches the Rfam family "Bacterial small subunit ribosomal RNA", at positions 524 to 776 of the family's 1533-position model. The record is from RNAcentral.
UACGUAGGGUGCAAGCGUUGUCCGGAAUUAUUGGGCGUAAAGAGCUCGUAGGCGGCUUGUCGCGUCGGGUGUGAAAUCCCGGGGCUCAACCCCGGGACUGCAUCCGAUACUGUCAGGCUAGAGGUAGGUAGGGGAGAUCGGAAUUCCUGGUGUAGCGGUGAAAUGCGCAGAUAUCAGGAGGAACACCGGUGGCGAAGGCGGAUCUCUGGGCCUUUCCUGACGCUCAGGCGCGAAAGCGUGGGGAGCGAACAGG